This 1218-nucleotide ribosomal RNA is filed under the name Triticum aestivum (bread wheat). RNAcentral's name for it is "partial small subunit ribosomal RNA". Lineage: Eukaryota; Viridiplantae; Streptophyta; Magnoliopsida; Poales; Poaceae. The record is from RNAcentral.
AUGGGUAUCAUCGGCAUCCGCACGGCCAUCCUGUUCCUCGCUGCGCUCGCGUGGUGUAGUGUGCUCGCCGCGGCCGCCGCCGGCGAGGUGGACGGCGUGUUCAACGUCAAGGACUACGGUGCUCGAGGCGACGGGGUCACCGACGACACCAAGGCGUUCGUGCACGCAUGGACCGCGGCGUGCGGCGCCAGGGGCUCGUCGGCGUCGACGCUGCUCGUGCCGGCGGCCAAGUCCUUCCUCGUCGGCCCCACCAGGUUCAACGGGCCCUGCGCCUCCACCAGAAUUACCGUCCAGGUCAUGGGCACGAUUACGGCGCCGCCGGCGGGCGCAUGGAGCGGGAAGAACUAUUGGCUGAUGUUCUACAAGGUCCACGGGCUCACGGUUACCGGCGGCAGCACCGGCUUGCUCGACGGCAGAGGCUGGACGUGGUGGCGCAACAAAUGCAAAGGCUAUGCUGACUGUGUAACCAAGGCACCGACGGCGUUGGUGGUCAUGAGCUGCGCCGACGUGGAGCUGCGCCAAUUCAGAAGCAAGGACAGCCCGCAGAUGCACAUCGCCGUCAGCCAGAGCAGCAAGGUCCACCUGACGCAGCUGACCAUCACCGCGCCCGGGGAUAGCCCCAACACCGACGGCGUGCACAUCUCCCAAAGUGAAAACGUCCACGUCAGCAGAUCGACCAUCGGCACCGGCGACGACUGCGUCUCCAUCAGCUCCAGGAGCCGAUUCGUCACCGUCGACGGAAUCGUGUGCGGCCCCGGCCAUGGCGUAAGUGUGGGGAGCCUGGGCAGGAAUGGAGCGACCGCAUCCGUGGAGUACAUCGACGUGAAAAACGUCCACUUCAUCAACACUACAAAUGGGGCAAGGAUCAAGACGUGGCAGGGUGGGAAAGGUUACGCGAAAUCCAUCUCCUUCACCGACAUAAAGUUCACCAACGUGGACCAUCCUGUGGUCAUCAACCAAUUCUACGUAGACCACCACCAUGUCCCAAAUAUGGGGGCGGUGGCGUUGAGCAACAUAACGUACAAGAACCUGAGGGGGACAUCGAAGCACAAGACGGCCGUGGACUUCAACUGCGGCGAGAGCGGCAGCUGCACGAAUAUCCACGUCAACUCUGUGGCGAUCACCGCUGCGGACGGCGGAAGAACCGUGUCCCGCUGCCAGAACGCGCAAGGGGACACCUCCGGAUACGUCUACCCCAAGAUCCCUUGCCUUAAAUAA